This is a long non-coding RNA of Lynx canadensis (Canada lynx), 257 nucleotides long. RefSeq lists it as uncharacterized. The record is from RefSeq and is a predicted model, not a curated record. The transcript has 2 exons. Lineage: Eukaryota; Metazoa; Chordata; Mammalia; Carnivora; Felidae.
CAUGAGACCAUGACCUGAGCCAAAGUCGGAGCCUUAACCGACUGAGCUCCCCAGGCGUCCCUCUCUUCCCCAGUAUUGUGAAGGCAGCCGUGGACACAAGGGCAACCUUUCCGCUCCGGGGUAUCGGCCCCCACCUGCUCAGGGACUCUGUCCAGCUCCGCGUGGAGGUGGCCGGAGGAGGAUGGAACACAUCCGGGCAUUUUCAGGUGGGACCUGCCAGCCAGAAAGUCCUCCCCGACGCGCCCUCGCAGGAACAA